GCCACCGUGGCGGAAUCGGUAGACGCCGCGGACUUAAAAUCCGUUGCAGGGUAACCUGCGUGCCGGUUCGAGUCCGGCCGGUGGCA
Molecule: transfer RNA, 86 nt
Filed under: Neoluteolibacter flavescens
Lineage: Bacteria; Pseudomonadati; Verrucomicrobiota; Verrucomicrobiia; Verrucomicrobiales; Verrucomicrobiaceae
Also listed under: 2 other names
Description: tRNA-Leu
Rfam family: tRNA
About the family: Transfer RNA (tRNA) molecules are approximately 80 nucleotides in length. Their secondary structure includes four short double-helical elements and three loops (D, anti-codon, and T loops).
Source: RNAcentral